AUUGAACGCUGGCGGCAGGCCUAACACAUGCAAGUCGAGCGCGCGGAGGACGGGUGAGAAAUGUAUGGGGACUGACCGCGAGAGGGGGAUAACUACUGGAAAAGGUAGCGAAAAACCCAUACCAUCGGAUAACACACAUGGGAUUAGCUCGUGGGUGUGGGAAUGGCUCACCUAGGCGCCGAUCCCUAGCUGGUCUGAGAGGAUGAUCAGCCACACGGGGACUGAGACACGGCCCAGACUCCUACGGAGGCAGCAGUGGGGAAUAUUGCACAAUGGGCGCAAGCCUGAUGCAGCCAUGCCGCGUGUAUGAAGAAGGCCCUAGGGUUGUAAAGUACUUUCAGUCGGGAGGCGUUACCGACAGAAGAAGCACCGGCUAACUCCGUGCCAGCAGCCGCGGUAAUAC
RNAcentral lists this ribosomal RNA (403 nucleotides) under uncultured bacterium. RNAcentral's name for it is "partial 16S ribosomal RNA". It matches the Rfam family "Bacterial small subunit ribosomal RNA", at positions 29 to 526 of the family's 1533-position model. The record is from RNAcentral.